UUUUAAUUAAAUAAAUUAACAAUAAGUUGAGUUUGAUUAUUAUUUAUAAAUAUAAAAUUAGUUUAAUAAAAAAAAUUUUAUAGGUUUUUAUAUUGAGUAUUAAUUUAGAAAAAAUUAAUUGAUUUAUAUUGAAAAGUAUUGUAAAAGAAAAUAAGAAGGUUUUUUAAAAUUAUAUAAAGUAAAUUUAAAUUUUUGUACCUUUUGUAUCAGGGUUAAAUAAAAUAGAAUUUGUAAUUUAUAAAUAAUCUCGAAAAAAAAAGAGAUAAUUUGAUAUGAUUUAUAAUGUAAAAAAAUUAUAUUAAAUAUUAAAUUUGUAAUGAAAAGUUAUUCGUUUUUUUUUAUAUCUAGUUUUUUAAUAAAUAAAUUUAAUUUAGUCAAUUUUUAUUUAAUAAGGUUAAUUUUAUAUUAUAUUAGAAAUAAAAUUGAUAAUAAGUUAUGGGAUUAACUAUAAUUUAAUUUUUAAAAAAAGUUUAAUAGUUUAUAUAAGAUUUAAUAGAAAUAGAAUUUUUAAUUUAAAAAAAAAAUGUAAAAAUUUAAUUUUAUAAUGAAUUUUAUUAAUUUUAAUGAUUCUUUUUUAAAAUUUUUAUUAAAAAAUUUUAUUUAAUAAUUUAGUAGAAGUUAUUAUGUUUAAAUUAGUAUAUAAAGGAAUAAAAUAAAUUUAAUAUUUUUUAAUUGGAUUAAUAAAUUAAAUUUAAGGAAUUCGGCAAAAUUUAUAUUUACCUGUUUAAUAAAAACAUGUCUUUUAGAUUAAAAUUAAAAGUCUGGUCUGCCCCCUGAAUUAUUAUUUAAAUGGCUGCAGUAAAUUGACUGUACAAAGGUAGCAUAAUAAAUAGGUUCUUAAUUAGGAUCUGGAAUGAAAGAUUAAAUAAAAUAUAAACUGUCUAAAAUUUAUUUUUUAAAAUUUAAAUUUUGAGUUAAAAUGUUCAAAUAUUUUUAAGGGACGAUAAGACCCUAUAGAUCUUUAUAAAAUUAAUAUAUAAUAAUAUUUAUUUUAAUGAUUUUAUAUAUUAAUUUUAUUUAACUGGGGUUGUUAAAAAAUUUAAUUAAAUUUUUUAUUUAAAUUAACAUUAAUUAAUGAUAAAUAGAAUUGAUAUAAUAUUAUUUAUGUAAAUUAAAAUAAGUUACCUUAGGGAUAACAGCGUAAUAAUUUUUUAGAGUUCAUAUUAAAAAAAUUGAUUGCGACCUCGAUGUUGAAUUAAAAUAAAAUAUAAAAGUAGAUUUUUAUUAUUUGGGUCUGUUCGACCUUUAAAAUUUUACAUGAUUUGAGUUUAGAUCGGCGUAAGCCAGAUCAGUUUCUAUCUUUAAAUAUAUAUAAAUUAUUUUUGUACGAAAGGACUAAAUAAUUAAAUUAUUAAUUUUAAAUUAAAUAAAUAUAUUAAUUUAAUAAAAAAAAUUAAAAUUUUGUUGUGUUUUAUAUAUAUAGUUUA
RNAcentral lists this ribosomal RNA (1427 nucleotides) under Gasteruption sp. M19. RNAcentral's name for it is "16S ribosomal RNA". The record is from RNAcentral. Lineage: Eukaryota; Metazoa; Arthropoda; Insecta; Hymenoptera; Gasteruptiidae.